Molecule: long non-coding RNA, 499 nt
Filed under: Homo sapiens (human)
Lineage: Eukaryota; Metazoa; Chordata; Mammalia; Primates; Hominidae
Description: non-protein coding lnc-C17orf97-3:8
Source: RNAcentral
CACAGGAGGUUCUGUGGACAGGGCUGGUGGAGCUCUGGCCACUUCCUCCGUAAACUAGAGACGUGAUCCCCAGGGCCAGGUCUGUCUCUGAGGUCCUACCAGCUGGGACAGGAGGAUGCAAUUCUCUCUCUAAAGUCGAGAGCUCACCACCCCGGGCGUUCGUCACUGCAGACAUCACUGCAGACACAGAGACGGCCAUUAGAGCUCACCACCCCGGGCGUUCGUCACUGCAGACAUCACUGCAGACACAGAGAAGGCCAUUAGAGCUCACCACCCCGGGCGUUCGUCACUGCAGACAUCACUGCAGACACAGAGACGGCCAUUAUGCAGCCUCACGUGGUCACUCCUGGGGGCGGUAGGAUAUUUUAUCCUAAAGAGAAAACACCUUAAAUUCUCACAUCAGCCACCCCCAUGGCGACUCUUAACACCUUAAUGUAGCACCUUCCAACUUUUCCUGGGCAUUUAUGUACAAAUUGUAAUAAAAUUGGGUUCUUACUGC